UACGAAGGGGGCUAGCGUUGCUCGGAAUCACUGGGCGUAAAGGGCGCGUAGGCGGGAUGGCAAGUCGGUCGUGAAAUCCUUCGGCUCAACCGAAGAACGUCGAUCGAUACUGCUGUUCUUGAGGGUUGCAGAGGAGACUGGAAUUCCCGGUGUAGCGGUGAAAUGUGUAGAGAUCGGGAGGAACACCGGUGGCGAAGGCGGGUCUCUGGGCAAUUCCUGACGCUGAGGCGCGAAAGCGUGGGGAGCAAACGGG
RNAcentral lists this ribosomal RNA (253 nucleotides) under uncultured bacterium. RNAcentral's name for it is "partial 16S ribosomal RNA". It matches the Rfam family "Bacterial small subunit ribosomal RNA", at positions 524 to 776 of the family's 1533-position model. The record is from RNAcentral.